Molecule: small nuclear RNA, 196 nt
Organism: Impatiens glandulifera
Lineage: Eukaryota; Viridiplantae; Streptophyta; Magnoliopsida; Ericales; Balsaminaceae
Product: U2 spliceosomal RNA
Exons: 1
Source: RefSeq, a predicted model, not a curated record
AUACCUUUCUUGGCCUUUUGGAUAUAAUCAAGUGUAGUAUCUAUUCUUAUUAGUUUAAUAUCUGAUAAAUGGGCCAUUGGCUCAUAUGAUCUUAAAUUAUUUUUUUUUGGGGGAAGACCCGUCACGGUAGCUUGCUGAUGGGGUCUUCGAGUGUUGCCCUUGUGUUGCACUUCUGCUUGGGUCAGACGCACCCAAU